GUUGGUUUGAUAAGCGAGAUGUGAAAGCCCCGGGCUUAACCUGGGAACGGCAUUUCGAACUGUCAGGCUAGAGUAUGGUAGAGGGUAGUGGAAUUUCCUGUGUAGCGGUGAAAUGCGUAGAUAUAGGAAGGAACACCAGUGGCGAAGGCGGCUACCUGGACCAAUACUGACACUGAGGUGCGAAAGCGUGGGGAGCAAACAGGAUUNAGAUACCCUGGUAGUCCACGCCGUAAACGAUGUCUACUAGCCGUUGGGACUCUUGAAGUCUUAGUGGCGCAGCUAACGCACUAAGUAGACCGCCUGGGGAGUACGGCCGCAAGGUUAAAACUCAAAUGAAUUGACGGGGGCCCGCACAAGCGGUGGAGCAUGUGGUUUAAUUCGACGCAACGCGAAGAACCUUACCUGGCCUUGACAUGCAGAGAACUUUCCAGAGAUGGAUUGGUGCCUUCGGGAACUCUGACACAGGUGCUGCAUGGCCGUCGUCAGCUCGUGUCGUGAGAUGUUGGGUUAAGUCCCGUAACGAGCGCAACCCCUAUCCCUAGUUGCUAGCAGUUCGGCUGAGAACUCUAGGGAGACUGCCGGUGACAAACCGGAGGAAGGUGGGGAUGACGUCAGGUCAUCAUGGCCCUUACGGCCAGGGCUACACACGUGCUACAAUGGUGCGCACAGAGGGCUGCAAACCCGCGAGGGGGAGCCAAUCUCACAAAACGCAUCGUAGUCCGGAUCGCAGUCUGCAACUCGACUGCGUGAAGUCGGAAUCGCUAGUAAUCGUGAAUCAGAAUGUCACGGUGAAUACGUUCCCGGGCCUUGUACACACCGCCCGUCACACCAUGGGAGUGGAUUGCACCAGAAGUGGUUAGU
RNAcentral lists this ribosomal RNA (861 nucleotides) under marine bacterium enrichment culture clone C22-B11-S3. Its description in RNAcentral is "bacterial SSU rRNA". It matches the Rfam family "Bacterial small subunit ribosomal RNA", at positions 574 to 1434 of the family's 1533-position model. The record is from RNAcentral.